UGCGUAGGCGGAUAAAUAAGUCAGUGGUGAAAUCUUUCGGCUCAACCGGGAAACUGCCAUUGAUACUGUUUAUCUUGAGUUCGGUAGAGGUAGGCGGAAUGUGUAAUGUAGCGGUGAAAUGCUUAGAUAUUACACAGAACACCAAUUGCGUAGGCAGCUUACUAUGCCGACACCGACGCUGAGGCACGAAAGCGUGGGGAGCGAACAGGAUUAGAUACCCUGGUAGUCC
RNAcentral lists this ribosomal RNA (229 nucleotides) under uncultured bacterium. RNAcentral's name for it is "partial 16S ribosomal RNA". It matches the Rfam family "Bacterial small subunit ribosomal RNA", at positions 568 to 796 of the family's 1533-position model. The record is from RNAcentral.